This 510-nucleotide ribosomal RNA is filed under the name Salmonella enterica. RNAcentral's name for it is "partial 16S ribosomal RNA". It matches the Rfam family "Bacterial small subunit ribosomal RNA", at positions 1 to 500 of the family's 1533-position model. Lineage: Bacteria; Pseudomonadati; Pseudomonadota; Gammaproteobacteria; Enterobacterales; Enterobacteriaceae. RNAcentral also lists the same sequence under 1 other name. The record is from RNAcentral.
AAAUUGAAGAGUUUGAUCAUGGCUCAGAUUGAACGCUGGCGGCAGGCCUAACACAUGCAAGUCGAACGGUAACAGGAAGCAGCUUGCUGCUUCGCUGACGAGUGGCGGACGGGUGAGUAAUGUCUGGGAAACUGCCUGAUGGAGGGGGAUAACUACUGGAAACGGUGGCUAAUACCGCAUAACGUCGCAAGACCAAAGAGGGGGACCUUCGGGCCUCUUGCCAUCAGAUGUGCCCAGAUGGGAUUAGCUGGUUGGUGAGGUAACGGCUCACCAAGGCGACGAUCCCUAGCUGGUCUGAGAGGAUGACCAGCCACACUGGAACUGAGACACGGUCCAGACUCCUACGGGAGGCAGCAGUGGGGAAUAUUGCACAAUGGGCGCAAGCCUGAUGCAGCCAUGCCGCGUGUAUGAAGAAGGCCUUCGGGUUGUAAAGUACUUUCAGCGGGGAGGAAGGUGUUGUGGUUAAUAACUGCAGCAAUUGACGUUACCCGCAGAAGAAGCACCGGCUAA